UAGGUAGGUCCCGAGCGUUGUCCGGAUUUAUUGGGCGUAAAGCGAGCGCAGGUGGUUUAAUAAGUCUGAUGUAAAAGGCAGUGGCUCAACCAUUGUGUGCAUUGGAAACUGUUAGACUUGAGUGCAGUAGAGGAGAGUGGAAUUCCAUGUGUAGCGGUGAAAUGCGUAGAUAUAUGGAGGAACACCGGUGGCGAAAGCGGCUCUCUGGACUGUAACUGACACUGAGGCUCGAAAGCGUGGGUAGCAAACAGG
This 252-nucleotide ribosomal RNA is filed under the name uncultured microorganism. RNAcentral's name for it is "partial 16S ribosomal RNA". It matches the Rfam family "Bacterial small subunit ribosomal RNA", at positions 524 to 776 of the family's 1533-position model. The record is from RNAcentral.